RNAcentral lists this ribosomal RNA (484 nucleotides) under uncultured bacterium. RNAcentral's name for it is "partial 16S ribosomal RNA". It matches the Rfam family "Bacterial small subunit ribosomal RNA", at positions 30 to 507 of the family's 1533-position model. The record is from RNAcentral.
AUUGAACGCUGGCGGCAGGCCUAACACAUGCAAGUCGAGCGGAUGAAGGGAGCUUGCUCCUGGAUUCAGCGGCGGACGGGUGAGUAAUGCCUAGGAAUCUGCCUGGUAGUGGGUGAUAACGUCCGGAAACGGGCGCUAAUACCGCAUACGUCCUGAGGGAGAAAGUGGGGGAUCUUCGGACCUCACGCUAUCAGAUGAGCCUAGGUCGGAUUAGCUAGUUGGUGGGGUAAAGGCCUACCAAGGCGACGAUCCGUAACUGGUCUGAGAGGAUGAUCAGUCACACUGGAACUGAGACACGGUCCAGAGUCCUACGGGAGGCAGCAGUGGGGAAUAUUGGACAAUGGGCGGAAGCCUGAUCCAGCCAUGCCGCGUGUGUGAAGAAGGUCUUCGGAUUGUAAAGCACUUUAAGUUGGGAGGAAGGGCAGUAAGUUAAUACCUUGCUGUUUUGACGUUACCAACAGAAUAAGCACCGGCUAACUUCGUG